Molecule: long non-coding RNA, 1270 nt
Filed under: Parus major (Great Tit)
Lineage: Eukaryota; Metazoa; Chordata; Aves; Passeriformes; Paridae
Description: lncRNA (ENSPMJG00000010624.1)
Source: RNAcentral
CUCGCUCGUGGCAUGCCAGGCCUGGCCGAGCAGGGCGGCUGUGCCGGGCAGGCCGCAGGGCCAAGGUGGGAGGAUGAACAAACACCAUUUGCUGUCCUUGGCCUCAUGGAGAGGGGUGGAGAGUUAUCCCAAAGAUCCAGUGGCCAGGGAGAGGGAGCAGGGUGUGAAGCAGCCACGUGCUGAGAGGGGAAGAACCCUCCCCGUUCUUCCCUGUAAUAUUUGGGCCACACCAACACUCUCCAUCACUGCACGGCUACCAGGAGAGCUGCAUAAACCACCAACAAAUUCAAAAAUGCAAGUUUUUUCUUCAAGCAUUUCCCCAUCACUAGCUCAGGUGCUGGUGGUUUUUCCAUUCCACGCAAGAAAUCUACAUUUGAACCCUCAUAUCCCACGCUAUGUUUUGUGGGAACAGAAUUGGGGUCCAACAACCUUGCCAAUAUUCCCAGGCUGGUUGGGGUGUAGUAUAAAGUAAAGAGCCUGUCUUAGAGGCACCUUUGGCACCUGGCACCUGCAAGGCUCGAUUUGGGAUGUCUCAGUAAUCACCUGCUUAACGGGGAAAGCUCAAGGAGCCAGAGAACAGGAAUUGCACCUUUCCCAUCCCCAUUUUCCUGGCAGCAGGAGCAGUUUGCUGCAGCUCGUGUUCCCAUCUAUUCUGGAGCUGAAGGCGUGAAAACAAACGGAGGCUGAUUACGCCCCGCUCCGAGGAAUGGUGCGGAUGUGAGAAGCAGCAGAAAAACUUGCUCACUUGGUGUUUUCCUGAGUGCCUGCCAGAGCUGCAUCUGCUCCUGGACCGACGCUGCCUGGCUGCUAGAAGAGAAGAAUUUGAAUAAUUUCUGUCAUGUGGAGGAAGAGGGAGCAGAGAGCCACCCUGAUGGCCUUUGGGAGCUGAAAACUGAUGCUCGUGUUUAUUGGCUGCCAUGUAAGAUACAUCAAUGUAUGGAUUUUUCUGGGUUUUUUGGGGUUUUUUUUCCUUUUAUAGUAGUGCUUUUGGUUAUUAUUUCAGGGGAUGAGCUUGAAAGGGCUCUGGGUUUGUGUGCCUCUUAGAAAUCUUGAAUCCUUUAUUGAGCAGAUCCUAAAAUCCUACUCCUGGUGCCCCACUGUGGGAGUAUAAUUCAAAUCCCCCUCUUCUCUCUUCUUGAGUCUCUUUAUUCCCUGUUUUUACACAUGGAGAUGUGUGUAUGGAUCAAGCCUCCAUCCCAAAUGGACUAUUCUAAGUACUGGGCCACAUAAAAGCCAGAAAUAUCCAAUAAAAUCAGACCUGGUGAAACCA